UGCUGGCACAUCAGCACUCUCUUGUCAGUGCUGAGACAGUCCAGGACUGCUCCUGACAGGCUGCAACAGCUGGACGGUGUUACCUGCGCUGCCUAAGCGGGUGGGUGUCAGACCUAAAAAGCGGUCACAGACCCAUUUUAUUUACUAAGGUAGCUGCAAUCAGCAUGUUCAAGACUGUUACAAUGAAUGACUCAUCAGCCAGAAGAUGACACCAGUCCUCACUGAAUAGCACUCUGGUCCUUCCCUCUCUGCAGUCAAGGGCCGUACUGACAUGGCUGUGCACCUCCUGUGAGACUGCCCUUCCUUACCAUGUCUGUCAUCAGAAAAGUGCAACGGAUUUGAUGGGCCACUGAGAUAAACUCAUGGCAUGAAGACCCACCAAGGAGCUUCAGACCCUUCAUGCUUUCUUCAGAGAUCCCCAAGCCACAGCACUCAAGGACACCUGGAGUGGUGGUUGGACACGUCUGAUGAAAAUCAGUGGCACAGCUCUGGCCAGCAGGCCUGCCAGCGUUCAGCCGUGGCACUUGCUGUGAUGCAAAGCACAGCUGCACCGACCAAAAUGGUUCUGUGCGCCACCUCCCUCCCUCCCUCCCACAGGUCCUAUCCCAGCACGUUCCCGACAGAAGCUGUCUGUGCCCAGCAGCCCCGCAGACCCCAGGCAGCACUCGGAGGACGAGCUAAAUUAGCUUCACCUCCUGCCUCCCAAACAAUUCCCGGCUAUGCCCCAGCCGCAUUGCUAAUGAUGAUGUAAGAAACUUUAAUAAGAGUCUGAUUUGCACGUACCAGGUUUAACUUUUUGGAGACAGCUGUUCGAGAGUCCUCCAGUGACGGGCACAGGCAGGGGCCCUGUUCUCUGGGGCCCUGGAGAACGAAGAUGUCCACAGGAACACUUCUGCAGUGGUGGCUGGGCAAAUAUGGGUAUCUUCAGAUGAUGGGACAAUUUAUUCCCUCUCUUAGCCUAAUCUUUGUAACUUUGCCUGGUUUUGGAAAGGAGUCUGAGCAGUCUUAAAUGUAUAUUGUAUUGACACCAGCUAUGCUGCAUAAAAGGCUCAGUACUAACAGCUCUCCUCUUUAGUGACUUUUUGGCCAUCCCCCUUUUCACAUGUUAGGAACUACCAGGACAGCAGUGUUGGCUUCGCACGUCUCUCAAAGACAGCCCAAUGCUUCAAGUCCACCUUGCUGCUCCUCAUGAGAAACAAGAGGAACAGACCUAGACAGAGCUUUUAGGUGUGUCCACCACCUCAUCACAUGAUCAAGUCUCCUACUACUAGGGAUUUUUUUCUCAUAUUCUGCAGUGAGCUAUAAUUGUGUUCAUCCUACGUGCUGAGCCUGUAUGAAUGCAAGUCACUCCUUGGUCCUCUGCCUGAAUACCACAGGAGAGCAGCCUAUGUGCAGCUGCUCCACAGCCUCCCCCCUUCAAGAGCAGCGGGAGGGAAAAGCACGGCUGGGAAAAGGGAAGACCCUUCCAUUUCCACCAGCCUGCGUACCAGCCUUAGCGGAUUCGUGUUUCUGCAGCGAGCACCCGCUGCUUCAGGACAGGACGAGGUCUGGGGGAAGCCGAAACCCACAGCUGCAGUCUGGAUGCUGCUGGGGAGCCGCCGUUGGGGUGCACUGUGUCACCCCAUUUCCCCCAAAACUGGCAAAGAACUGUGGUCUCAUGCCAAGGAGACAAGGGCUCCACCCCACCCGCUUCCAGGUUUGCCUCUCCCCUUGCCUUUUGCUUCACAAGGCUGGAUGCGCUCUUAACUCCUUAUAACGUGAAGAUCUGCUGCUGUCUUUCCAUCCAUAAAUGGCGACAGUUCCCAAGCCUAAGAGUACCUGGGCUGCUGUUAUCCACGUUAGAAGGGAGUUGUCUAUAAUGCACAUGUAACUACCCAAACACAAGCGUAUUUUAUCCUUGGUGGCAUCUCUAAGUUUUAGCUAUUUUGUGUAAAGCGCACAGCUAUAUUCCUUUUUUUCAUUAAUGCUUAUUUAGGUUAAAGCCUUAAGAUUACCAGUGUUCUAAGUAUUUUAAGACAGUAUUUUUUUAAUAAAGUAUUUGGUCUGAA
Columba livia (rock pigeon) is the source of this 2048-nucleotide long non-coding RNA. RefSeq lists it as uncharacterized. The record is from RefSeq and is a predicted model, not a curated record. The transcript is spliced from 2 exons. NCBI's taxonomy places the organism in Eukaryota, Metazoa, Chordata, Aves, Columbiformes, Columbidae.